Sinocyclocheilus anshuiensis is the source of this 147-nucleotide long non-coding RNA. RefSeq lists it as uncharacterized. The record is from RefSeq and is a predicted model, not a curated record. The transcript is spliced from 3 exons. Lineage: Eukaryota; Metazoa; Chordata; Actinopteri; Cypriniformes; Cyprinidae.
ACGGAGAACAGAAGCUAGAGUGUGAACACAGAGGAAGGGGCAGACUGCAUGUGUGAGGACCUGCAAACAUAUGGCGAUAUCAGAUCAAGCACACGUUUUUCAGGGAAAACAGGCACCCAACACAGAGACUACAGUGGCACAAAAAAA